GGACCCGCACAAGUAGUGGAGCAUGUGGUUUAAUUCGAAGAUACGCGCAGAACCUUACCAACACUUGACAUGUUCGUCGCGACUCUAAGAGAUUAGAGUUUUCGGUUCGGCCGGACGAAACACAGGUGCUGCAUGGCUGUCGUCAGCUCGUGUCGUGAGAUGUUGGGUUAAGUCCCGCAACGAGCGCAACCCUCACUUUUUAGUUGCCAUCAUUAAGUUGGGCACUCUGAAAGAACUGCCAGUGAUAAGCUGGAGGAAGGUGGGGAUGACGUCAAGUCCUCAUGGCCCUUACGUGUUGGGCUACACACGUGCUACAAUGGUAGUGACAAUGAGAUGCUAAACAGCGAUGUUAAG
This 354-nucleotide ribosomal RNA is filed under the name uncultured bacterium. RNAcentral's name for it is "bacterial SSU rRNA". It matches the Rfam family "Bacterial small subunit ribosomal RNA", at positions 917 to 1267 of the family's 1533-position model. The record is from RNAcentral.